RNAcentral lists this unclassified non-coding RNA (376 nucleotides) under uncultured bacterium. RNAcentral describes it as "contains 16S-23S intergenic spacer region". The record is from RNAcentral.
UCCGAGUUAACCCCGGCAGUCUCCCGCGAGUCCCCGGCAUUACCCGCUGGCAACAUGGAACAGGGGUUGCGCUCGUUGCGCCACUUAACCCAACAUCUCACGACACGAGCUGACGACAGCCAUGCACCACCUGUGCACUGGCCCCGAAGGGCUGCCGUAUUUCUACGACAUUCCAGUGCAUGUCAAGCCCUGGUAAGGUUCUUCGCGUUGCGUCGAAUUGAGCCACAUGCUCCGCCGCUUGUGCGGGUCCCCGUCAAUUCCUUUGAGUUUUACCGUUGCCGGCGUACUCCCCAGGCGGAGAACUUAACGCGUUAGCUGCGACACCGAGAGGCAACCCUCCCAACAUCUAGUUCUCAUCGUUUACAGCGUGGACUAC